RNAcentral lists this ribosomal RNA (649 nucleotides) under uncultured bacterium. RNAcentral describes it as "bacterial SSU rRNA". It matches the Rfam family "Bacterial small subunit ribosomal RNA", at positions 202 to 838 of the family's 1533-position model. The record is from RNAcentral.
GAAAGAUGGCUUUGGCUAUCACUCUGGGAUGGACCUGCGGUGCAUUAGCUAGUUGGUAAGGUAACGGCUUACCAAGGCGAUGAUGCAUAGCCGAGUUGAGAGACUGAUCGGCCACAAUGGAACUGAGACACGGUCCAUACUCCUACGGGAGGCAGCAGUAGGGAAUCUUCCACAAUGGGCGCAAGCCUGAUGGAGCAACACCGCGUGAGUGAAGAAGGGUUUCGGCUCGUAAAGCUCUGUUGUUGGAGAAGAACGUGCGUGAGAGUAACUGUUCACGCAGUGACGGUAUCCAACCAGAAAGUCACGGCUAACUACGUGCCAGCAGCCGCGGUAAUACGUAGGUGGCAAGCGUUAUCCGGAUUUAUUGGGCGUAAAGCGAGCGCAGGCGGUUGCUUAGGUCUGAUGUGAAAGCCUUCGGCUUAACCGAAGAAGUGCAUCGGAAACCGGGCGACUUGAGUGCAGAAGAGGACAGUGGAACUCCAUGUGUAGCGGUGGAAUGCGUAGAUAUAUGGAAGAACACCAGUGGCGAAGGCGGCUGUCUGGUCUGCAACUGACGCUGAGGCUCGAAAGCAUGGGUAGCGAACAGGAUUAGAUACCCUGGUAGUCCAUGCCGUAAACGAUGAGUGCUAGGUGUUGGAGGGUUUCCGCC